Molecule: long non-coding RNA, 454 nt
Filed under: Helianthus annuus (common sunflower)
Lineage: Eukaryota; Viridiplantae; Streptophyta; Magnoliopsida; Asterales; Asteraceae
Source: RNAcentral
CGUGAUUUACAGGAGCCAAGAAAAGGGCUCUUACAAAGCCCUAAAACUCACAAGAAAUCCAACAAAAAUCGAAGAUAGAACAAGCUAAAAAUUGGGGCUUUAAAUAAAUUUGUGAUCACCCAAGCUAGAAGAUUGCAAGGUAUGUUGAAUUUUUUUGACUCUGACAAGCUAGGUAGGAGCUUGGAAAUGAACGGGUCAAAUGGAUACAAGUUCAAGUAUGAAGCUCGCAAGGAUGCAAGGUAAAUGAUAUCGGCUAUCCAGAUGAAGAUCAAGCGCCUAACAAGAACCGAACACACGAUAAAUGAAGCUUCCGCAUUUGAGUUUAAACCUUGUUAUCAAAAAGUGAACUAUGUAAACACUGAUAACAUGGUUUUUGGAACGUUUUAAACAUGUCUGAAUAUUUUGAUGUAAAAGUUUUCGUUGAGUCGCAUUUUUGUUAUAAAAUGCGUACUUU